GUGGGUAUAGCUCAGUGGUAGAGCACAUGCUUAGCAUGCAUAAGGUCCUGGGUUCAAUCCCCAGUACCUCCA
This 72-nucleotide transfer RNA is filed under the name Camelus bactrianus (Bactrian camel). It matches the Rfam family "tRNA". Rfam says of the family: Transfer RNA (tRNA) molecules are approximately 80 nucleotides in length. Their secondary structure includes four short double-helical elements and three loops (D, anti-codon, and T loops). Lineage: Eukaryota; Metazoa; Chordata; Mammalia; Artiodactyla; Camelidae. RNAcentral also lists the same sequence under 1 other name. The record is from Rfam by way of RNAcentral.